GCCGUUUCACCCUAGGUCUCUAUGUAGGGGAUAGGGUGCCGUUUCACCCUAGGUCUCUAUGUAGGGGAUAGGGUGCCGUUUCACCCUAGGAUCUUGUUACAGUGAAACAGACGGAAGCUUUUUGAAAUAUAUUAGUCUUGUUAAGCCAAACAUUCUAAGUCAUAAUGUGGCACAAUUAUUUCCUAUUUUCAUGAAUUCCAAAACUGUAUAUGUUAUGUUUUAUUGUCAACAGGAAUGAGUAUUACUGUAAUUGUUAUUAUGAUUAUUGUUUAUGCCUAUUAUUAAUAUUAGUGGCAGGCCACUGGGUAACAUUGUAUGUUGAUAUCCCAAUGAAAUCUGUGCAAGAUAAUGAUGAAAUGUUUAUGAGUUUAAAAAUAAAUAAAAAGGAAGACUAUGUGUCAU
This is a long non-coding RNA of Coregonus clupeaformis (lake whitefish), 402 nucleotides long. RefSeq lists it as uncharacterized. The record is from RefSeq and is a predicted model, not a curated record. The transcript is spliced from 2 exons. Lineage: Eukaryota; Metazoa; Chordata; Actinopteri; Salmoniformes; Salmonidae.